Molecule: ribosomal RNA, 336 nt
Filed under: uncultured bacterium
Lineage: Bacteria
Description: bacterial SSU rRNA
Rfam family: Bacterial small subunit ribosomal RNA
Source: RNAcentral
GAGUUUGAUCCUGGCUCAGGAUGAACGCUAGCUACAGGCUUAACACAUGCAAGUCGAGGGGCAUCAGGAAGAAAGCUUGCUUUCUCAAGCGAGUGGCGAACGGGUGAGUAACGCGUGAGGAACCUGCCUCAAAGAGGGGGACAACAGUUGGAAACGACUGCUAAUACCGCAUAAGCCCACAGCUCGGCAUCGAGCAGAGGGAAAAGGAGCAAUCCGCUUUGAGAUGGCCUCGCGUCCGAUUAGCUAGUUGGUGAGGUAACGGCCCACCAAGGCGACGAUCGGUAGCCGGACUGAGAGGUUGAACGGCCACAUUGGGACUGAGACACGGCCCAGACU